Molecule: ribosomal RNA, 545 nt
Filed under: uncultured bacterium
Lineage: Bacteria
Description: bacterial SSU rRNA
Rfam family: Bacterial small subunit ribosomal RNA
Source: RNAcentral
CAACCCUGAUCCAGCCAUGCCGCGUGCGGGAAGAAGGCCUUCGGGUUGUAAACCGCUUUCGGACAGAAAGAAAUCGCACGGGCUAAUACCCUGUGUGGAUGACGGUACUGUAAGAAGAAGCACCGGCUAACUACGUGCCAGCAGCCGCGGUAAUACGUAGGGUGCGAGCGUUAAUCGGAAUUACUGGGCGUAAAGCGUGCGCAGGCGGAUUGUUAAGCAAGAUGUGAAAUCCCCGGGCUUAACCUGGGAAUUGCAUUUUGAACUGGCAGUCUAGAGUGCGUCAGAGGGGGGUGGAAUUCCACGUGUAGCAGUGAAAUGCGUAGAGAUGUGGAGGAACACCGAUGGCGAAGGCAGCCCCCUGGGAUGACACUGACGCUCAUGCACGAAAGCGUGGGGAGCAAACAGGAUUAGAUACCCUGGUAGUCCACGCCCUAAACGAUGUCAACUGGCUGUUGGGUGCGAAAGUACUUAGUAGCGAAGCUAACGCGUGAAGUUGACCGCCUGGGGAGUACCGGCCGCAAGGUUGAAACUCAAAGGAAUUGACG